RNAcentral lists this ribosomal RNA (688 nucleotides) under uncultured bacterium. Its description in RNAcentral is "bacterial SSU rRNA". It matches the Rfam family "Bacterial small subunit ribosomal RNA", at positions 54 to 738 of the family's 1533-position model. The record is from RNAcentral.
CAUGCAAGUCGAACGAGAAUCUUUGGAAUGAUUCUUUCGGGAUGAAUUCCAAAGAGGAAAGUGGCGGACGGGCGAGUAACGCGUGAGUAACCUGCCCAUAAGAGGGGGAUAAUCCAUGGAAACGUGGACUAAUACCGCAUAUUGUAGUUAAGUUGCAUGACUUGAUUAUGAAAGAUUUAUCGCUUAUGGAUGGACUCGCGUCAGAUUAGAUAGUUGGUGAGGUAACGGCUCACCAAGUCAACGAUCUGUAGCCGAACUGAGAGGUUGAUCGGCCGCAUUGGGACUGAGACACGGCCCAGACUCCUACGGGAGGCAGCAGUGGGGAAUAUUGCGCAAUGGGGGCAACCCUGACGCAGCAACGCCGCGUGCAGGAAGAAGGUCUUCGGAUUGUAAACUGUUGUCGCAAGGGAAGAAGACAGUGACGGUACCUUGUGAGAAAGUCACGGCUAACUACGUGCCAGCAGCCGCGGUAAUACGUAGGUGACAAGCGUUGUCCGGAUUUACUGGGUGUAAAGGGCGCGUAGGCGGACUGUCAAGUCAGUCGUGAAAUACCGGGGCUUAACCCCGGGGCUGCGAUUGAAACUGACAGCCUUGAGUAUCGGAGAGGAAAGCGGAAUUCCUAGUGUAGCGGUGAAAUGCGUAGAUAUUAGGAGGAACACCAGUGGCGAAGGCGGCUUUCUGGACGACA